RNAcentral lists this long non-coding RNA (649 nucleotides) under Homo sapiens (human). Its description in RNAcentral is "non-protein coding LINC00472:16". The record is from RNAcentral. Lineage: Eukaryota; Metazoa; Chordata; Mammalia; Primates; Hominidae.
GUUGCUUUCUUCCAGGAACAUUAAAAUCUCCCCAGAUGCUCACUGCUCUGAUCAUUUCCCCUACAGCACCAGACAUGUUGGCAUCAUCUCUUAGUUGGGCCAUGUGGCCAGGGAACCCUUCAUGAAACCACCUCUGCAGUCCUGGAGAGUUGCUGUAGAAGAAGGAAAAGAGAGGAAGACAACACAACACAGGAGGGGAUAAGUACCUCUGGACACAAUGGAAGUAGUAGUUGUUGAGCAGAGGGAAAGGGAUAGGAGAAGGAUGUGGACUGCAGUGCUGCAGUGCCAGGUAAUAACUUUGAUCAUGUACCUCCUUGGCUCAGGUGCUGUCUCUUCUACUCUCCUCCUUACUUGUACUACCUUAUUUAGCACUUAAUUAUAUACUUUCUUGACUCACUUUGAGACACACUGAUUAUGUGGUCUGCCUCAAAGACAGAAUCCUAGUUUUGGAUUUUAGCAUUACUGAUCUAUAGCCUUGCAGGGGCUUAAGGAUGGCAGCUGUCUCUCUCCCUUGGGAUCUAGCUUUUGCAAAUAUUGAAGGGAAGAGAUUUCUUUGAUCUUAUAGGAAUAGAUCCACAGUUCCUCUCCAGAUUUGCUUUUAUAGAGAAGUGUGUGUCACCAAAACAAUGGAGAUACGGUCAGAGAGGCC